Vibrio genomosp. F6 str. FF-238 is the source of this 135-nucleotide regulatory RNA element. It matches the Rfam family "Gammaprotebacteria rimP leader". Lineage: Bacteria; Pseudomonadati; Pseudomonadota; Gammaproteobacteria; Vibrionales; Vibrionaceae. The record is from Rfam.
CUAUAUACUUAACACAUCAGGGUCCAGCAACAUAAACCUCGAUUUUCGGGGUUUUUUGUUAUCUGUACUUUUCGAUUUUCGAAAUUGUAUGGGUAGUUUGCUUGGGAUUUAAAUUGGGCUCUGAGCCCUUUUUUU